Molecule: long non-coding RNA, 3509 nt
Filed under: Lynx pardinus (Iberian lynx)
Lineage: Eukaryota; Metazoa; Chordata; Mammalia; Carnivora; Felidae
Source: RNAcentral
AUUAGUUACUGUCUUUUAAGUUUCUUACAAUCUAGAAGAGUUUGUUUUUCAUGAUAUUUGUUAAAGAGACCAGCUACCUUGCUCUUUCGGGAGUUACCUAUUUACUUUGUAGUCUGGCUCUUACCUGUUCUAUUCCUGUAUUCCCACCAAACUUGAAGUUAUGAAGUUAGAUCAAUUCAGGUGAAACAUUUUAGAUCUUAGGUAAUCUGAACUUCAUAGUGGUUCUUAUUAAGAGAUGCAAGUUUUCCUGUGUGUUGGUAUGUAGGUAGUCCUCAACUUAGCAAUGGUUCUACUUAGGAUUUUUCAACUUUAUGACAGCCCCAAAGUGGCAUGCAUUCAGUAGAAACCGUACCUUGGAUUUUGACCUUUUUCUGGGAUAGCAGUGUGGUAGGACACCCUUAGGCUGGGCAACAAACUGCAACUCCUAGUCAACCAUGUGAUCAUGAAGAUAAACAAUGGAUAUACUUAAAACCAUUCUGUACCCAUACAGCCAGUCUGUUUCUCACUUUCAUUAUAGUAUGCAGUAAGUUACAAGAGAUAUUCAACACUUUGUGUUAGAGGAUUUUGCUGAACUGUAGGCUAAUGUGUUUUUAGCACAUUGAAGGCUAAGCUAUGGUGUUUGGUAAGUUAGGUGUAUUAAAUAAUUACUGACUCAAGAUAUUUUCAACUUACCAUGGGUUUAUCAGGAUACAACCCUGUUGUAAGUUGAAAGAGAAAGAUCUCUAUAUGUAAGUUCCUCAGAAGCUAGGUGACUCUUGGUUGUCCUAAGAUUGAGGCACUAAAAAGCACAAUGGAAUCUCUGGAUGUGGCCCAGGAGUUUAAUUUUGUGCCACACUACCUUAUCAGGUAGUGACUUGGGCUGUUAAGGUGGGAUUUCUAGAGACAGUAGUGAUAAAUGUGUUAAAUUCAUCAAGUAUAAUUAGUCCAACACAUCUUGAAUGCAAUUUCUAAGUUUUUGGGUAUAUUGACAUAUUACAUCUGGGGAAUACUUGACUAAUGAGUAUAGUGUUCUGUCCACUGGAACAAUGAACAAGAACCAAAAAAGUAUAUAGAUAAUUUGCAUAUAUAUUUCCCGGUAAGUUUUAUUUUUCAAUCAUUAUUUGCAACAAUUCUGGGAACAAUCUGAUAGUCCCAAGUCCCCACAACAAAAAUCCCACCUUGUAUUAUUAGAAGAGUUCUAGUUUCAAAGAGAUCUGUUGACCAUUUUGGAACUAUAAGUUCCUAAGAGAAAUUGAACUACUUGGUUGAGUUACCUUUGGUGAAUCUCAGCCAGUUUCUCAAAAUUCUAAGGAAGCUUCAGUGAAUUGACACCCCCACAGUAAGUCCCCGAAAUGGUAAUACAUUUCUGUGAGGAGACUUUGUACUGACAUACUCGGAGUCCAGAACACAACCCUGGAGGCUUAAGUUCUGUUUCGGAGGAUAGUCAGUAGAAGAUAACUCUGGACAGGGAAAAUAGGAAGGAAAUCCUUAAUUGCCAUUAGUGGAUGGAUGCCCAGUCCACAGAUCAUUCUGAAUUGUCUAUAUGAAUAUGCCGUAAUGUUUAUAGGACCAUGGAUAUUUUCUGUAAUUAGUGAUUAUUCUGGAUUACCAUGAAGCAGAGGUUCUUUGAAGAUCAGAAUUUACUUUCAGUUUUUAGUACUAGUGCUCACAUCCUCAUUUUAACCUACCUAAUGCUGUUUCACUCAAGUGUCUUUUCUUUCUUCCCUGGAACAGCUGUACAGAAGAUUCUGACCUUAUCUGAGGCUUGCAUGUAGGAGAAUAUCCAUUUCUCCAUUGAUUCAGAGAAGUAUUAUGUACUAAAACAAAUAGAAAGGAAAUGUGAAGUUUCUUUCCCUUGACACAGAUAAUGAACGUGUUAAUUUCUUAUAACAUUGCAGAACAUUAAUUUACCAGUUCAGAAUAACAUAUGAAAUACUUCUAUACCAAAAUGGAAUGAUCCUACACUGAAAAUACACAUAAUAAGAUUCCUUAAAAACCUCUUCCAUAAGCAUCCAAUUUCCUAUAGUUGCUCCAUUAUUUGAAGGGGAUGAAAAGGUGACCUGUUCUCGAAGCCUUCUAAAUUGCAAAAUUUUAUAGAGGAGGUUGGUUCACAUCUGUAAAUGUUGCCUGAGGAUGAUAUGAAUCCUUAAGUUAGCCCCUGCUCACCCUUCAGUGUGAAAAUAAUUCAGGAUCAAGUAAAAUCCUACAGAAUUAUAAGAGACUGGGACCUCUUGAGGGCAAGAACCAGAUUUCAUCAAACUGACGGUACCUAGCACUGUUCUUUCAAUUUUAAAAGCAAUGUAUUUUCUAAAACUUUUAGGGUCACUUGAUGUCUCUAUGCCUCAGUUGCCUUAUCUGUAAAAUAGGGAUAAGUGCAGCUAUCAUGGGAUUAUGAGGAUUAAAUGAGUUAAUCCCUGUAAUGGUCAUUAGGAGGAUACCUACCCGAAGUAUUUAAUAAAUGUUAGUUUCUUCAUGAUCGUUAUUAUCUAUCUGAAACCCAUAUUUCCAGUACUGGAUUAAUAACCAAAUUGGCUUUUUUUGAAGGUGUUGGAGAUGUGGAAAGGAAUGGAAAAAGAAAUGUAGGCCUAAGUGCCAAAUUCUCACCAACACUGAAAAACAAAGUGUGGUCUACCAACAGUAACCAGACUCUGAUUACAAGAUGACAAAGCACCCUAAAAGUAACAGACAAAAGUUUUAUACAUAGACACACAGAUGUGCACAUAUACACACAUAUAUAUAUAUACACAUUAGCAAGCAAUAAAAGGGAACUUGUGAGUAAAGCAGAAUUUGUGAGGAAUCUCUGAAAGACUAAUACCACAUGGAAUUUGGAGAGCAAUCAAGGUAAAAGCACAUGAGAAAGUGCUGCCACAAAACUAUGACCAUCAAAGGUGCUCUAGACCUGGAGGAAAUGAAAGUGGAGGAUAAUUACUUAGAUGGACAGUUAACUGAAAGGAUAACUACACAAGCCAACUUCUCAGCCACACUCCUUGAGAUUAUCUGUCUUAAUAGAUAACAAAAUCCAAGCCGAGCAGAGAAAUGGAUGAGAAAGCAAUACUAAGUGCCUCACUUUGAACUAUGUCCUGCCUGACCUUAACUGCUCCUGAAAACAGUAUAUACUGCAACUUCUACCCAUCCAGGGAAAGGAUCCCAUAAAUAGCAGUGGCAGAACAGUCUUAAUAGUGAAUAUGAACUGUAAAGGUGAGAACACAAGACUCCAAAAAUCUGAAUACCAAUACCGUAAAAGUCAAAGAAGAUGUAGAAAUGAACCAUCUCAAGUAAUAGUGAAUGGAUGCACAGAAUACAGUUAACAAGACUGAAACAACUAACAUUGCCAGAAGAAACAGGCAAAAGUCCCCACUAGAGAGCCCUCAGAAAUGGAAAAUGUGAUUGUUCAAAUUUAAAAACAACCAUCACUAAUUGGACUGAAUGAUACAGUGGACACGGGCUAAACAUCAAAAUCUAGGUUGACUGAGAACUGUACAACUCAAAGGAAUAGAGUGAUAGAAAAUAUUGGGGGUGGGGAGAGGGGA